Molecule: ribosomal RNA, 367 nt
Filed under: uncultured organism
Description: bacterial SSU rRNA
Rfam family: Bacterial small subunit ribosomal RNA
Source: RNAcentral
GGAGGGUGCAAGCGUUGUCCGGAUUCACUGGGUUUAAAGGGUGCGUAGGUGGGUUGGUAAGUCAGUGGUGAAAUCUCCAGGCUUAACUUGGAAACUGCCAUUGAUACUAUCAAUCUUGAAUACCGUGGAGAUGAGCGGAAUAUGUCAUGUAGCGGUGAAAUGCUUAGAUAUGACAUAGAACACCAAUUGCGAAGGCAGCUCGUUACACGAAUAUCGACACUGAUGCACGAAAGCGUGGGGAUCAAACAGGAUUAGAUACCCUGGUAGUCCACGCCCUAAACGAUGGAUACUCGACAUUUGCGAUAAACUGCAAGUGUCUGAGCGAAAGCAUUAAGUAUCCCACCUGGGAAGUACGACCGCAAGGUUG